CUCUUGGACCUUCACGUCCUUAAAAAGUGCCAUUAAAUAAGGUCUAAUUUUUUCUGUAUCCACCUUUUCUGCAAUGCCCCUUAUUUUCAGAUUUUUUCUUCUUGCUCUGCCUUCUGUAUCUGUGAGUUGAGACUGUAGAGUGUUUAUUUUUUUCCCAAUUUCGUUAAAUCUAUUUCUCUGUUCUUGUGUUUCAAAUUGAAGUGCUUCAACUUUGUGUUCAUUUUCUUUAAUUCUUUCAUUCAUUUUGGUCAUUUCCUGUUUAAGGUCACCCAUGUGGAUUUUAAGUUCUUCCUUAAUUUGGCUUAGUUGUAUUUCCAGAAAUUGUUUAAUAAAGAGUUGCAAUGCAUAUUCUAAUUCUUUUGGUUUUGGACUUAUUAUUUGUGAGCUAUGGGCUUCAAUUCCAUUAGUAUCAUUGAUGUCUGUGGUACUAGAAGUGUUAUGUUUUAUCAUUAGUAACCUGGGUUUGGACUCCGUUGGUUUAGGAGAAGGGAAGAAUGUAGAAAGUCUUCUUUUGUUUUUUGGGGGGGUUCUCUUUUUUUCCUCUUUUUUUGAAGGUGUUUUAAUCUCGGUGGCUUUUUUAUUCACCAUUCUGUUGUUCACCUUGAAUUAGUCGUUCACCCUUACUACCCCUUUAUCUGGGGGAGGAUUCUUUAAGACUAACAAGGAAACUUGCUACUUCUUUAUCCCACACUCAGUACUCUUUUCUUUUGAAUUUAAAUCAGAAGUGAUUUCUGCUUGCUUUUAAUCCCCUUAAGGACACAUGACGUGUGUGACAUGUCAUGAUUCCCUUUUAUUCCAGACGUUUCAGGGGUUAAUAUUCCUUUCCAAAAGAUAUAUAAGUAUAUUUUCUCACCAGGUUAACAUUUAUUUCAAAUAUGGUAAAUCUCAGGGGGAGAAUUUUGCUCCAUUUAUAGCCAUAAAUUGUGUCUCUUAUCCAUAAGGUUAAGAAAUUAUAACGUCUCUCCAUGUUUAAUACAGUUAAAAUGAACUAAAAUAAUCGAAAAAGAGUAGCUUGUGUCCCAAAGGGAAGUUUUUUUAUCUUUAUCCCCCACCUAAUAUCCUUAUCCAGCGAAAUACUUAAAUUGCAAUACUUAUUUAUGAGCGCUAUAUAAUUUAAUUAUUCUUUAUAGAUUAG
Pelobates cultripes (western spadefoot toad) is the source of this 1135-nucleotide non-coding RNA. Lineage: Eukaryota; Metazoa; Chordata; Amphibia; Anura; Pelobatidae. The record is from the annotation of a GenBank genome assembly.